GAUGAACGCUGGCGGCGUGCUUAACACAUGCAAGUCGAACGAAGCAUUUGCGACAGAUUUUUUCGGAAUGAAGUUGCUUAUGACUGAGUGGCGGACGGGUGAGUAACGCGUGGGUAACCUGCCUUGUACUGGGGGAUAGCAGCUGGAAACGCCUGGUAAUACCGCAUAAGCGCACAAUGUUGCAUGACAUGGUGUGAAAAACGCCGGUGGUAUAAGAUGGACCCGCGUCUGAUUAGCUAGUUGGUGAGAUAACAGCCCACCAAGGCGACGAUCAGUAGCCGACAUGGGAGGGUGACAGGCCACAUUGGGACUGAGACACGGACCAGAAUCCUACGCGAGGGAGCAGUGGGGAAUAUUGCACAAGGGAGCAAACUCUGAUGAAGCGACGCCGCGUGAGUGAAGAAGUAAUUCGUAAUGUAAAGCUCUAUCAGAAGGGAAGAUAGUGACGGUACCUGAAUAAGAAGCUCCGGCUAAAUACGUG
RNAcentral lists this ribosomal RNA (481 nucleotides) under uncultured bacterium. RNAcentral's name for it is "partial 16S ribosomal RNA". It matches the Rfam family "Bacterial small subunit ribosomal RNA", at positions 28 to 507 of the family's 1533-position model. The record is from RNAcentral.